Oncorhynchus tshawytscha (Chinook salmon) is the source of this 494-nucleotide long non-coding RNA. The record is from Ensembl. NCBI's taxonomy places the organism in Eukaryota, Metazoa, Chordata, Actinopteri, Salmoniformes, Salmonidae.
CCUGGGGAUUCAGUUAGGUUUGUAUGCAGUCUGUUGAUAUACCAGGGCCAGGGAUGCAGUUAGGUUUGUAUGCAGUCUGUUGAUAUACCAGGGCCAGGGAUGCAGUUAGGUUUGUAUGCAGUCUGUUGAUAUACCAGGGACUGGGGAUGCAGUUAGGUUUGUAUGCAGUCUGAAGAUAUAUCAGGGCCUGGGGAUGCAGUUAGGUUUGUAUGCAGUCUGUUGAUAUAUCAGUGCCUGGGGAUGCAGUUAGGUUUGUAUGCAGUCUGUUGAUAUAUCAGGGCCUGGGGAUGCAGUUAGGUUUGUAUGCAGUCUGUUGAUAUAUCAGGGCCUGGGGAUGCAGUUAGGUUUGUAUGCAGUCUGUUGAUAUAUCAGGGCCUGGGGAUGCAGUUAGGUUUGUAUGCAGUCUGUUGAUAUAUCAGGGCCUGGAGAUGCAGUUAGGAUUGUUUUGCACUAUCAUCUCACUCAUUUCAAAUCAGCACCAAUCAAUCAAACAC